GAAAUCAAGCAACAACAAAAGUGCUUGUUUGUUUGCUGUCUUUUCGGACUGGUUCCUUGGUUAAAUUUUAAUAAUUUCAAAUAAAACAUAUGCCACACGCACACACACAAGAACGUGGACAACGCACGCAUGAGGCGAACAUCUUCAUGCAUAUGUAUUUGUGUAUCUCUUUGCGUGUACAGUGAGUAUAUUUUUAUAAAUUCCAAUACACCCGCCAGUGACGUCUGCAACAGCUGCUCCCCCGGAGCGCAGGAGCAAAGGCCGUCACAGGGCCCAAACGCAGGCCACGAUGCCGACUGACACCCGAGGGACGCAGGAGCAGGCGGAAGGCGCUCACCACGGCAGCGCCGCUUCUGGACAUGCUGCUUUCCGUCCGAUUACACUACACUACAACAAAAAAAAACCAGCACUUCGAGGGGGUGGUGGGUGGUGGGUGGAGGGACGGCUUGUCACGCCUACCGGAUCACAGCAAUACGUUUGUGGGGGAUGGGGGGGACUUGAGUGAAUCACAAACACACUGCGAGCGUGUUAAGAAGAAAUGAGUGAGCGUAACGGUUAUUCCACGAACUUGACUCGAAAUUCCGAUGUUGUUGUUGUUGUUUUUCGACUAAAACGAUCUUGGGUUCACGAAAAAUUGUAUUUGGUCAAACGGGUCACAAAAAUUUCAAAAAAAUUCGAUUUGUCUUCGAGGUUCUUGCGAUCUUCGCAUUCUGUGUUCGAAAAACGAAUGUAU
Molecule: long non-coding RNA, 733 nt
Organism: Drosophila miranda
Lineage: Eukaryota; Metazoa; Arthropoda; Insecta; Diptera; Drosophilidae
Exons: 2
Source: RefSeq, a predicted model, not a curated record